RNAcentral lists this signal recognition particle RNA (99 nucleotides) under Actinomycetota bacterium. RNAcentral's name for it is "signal recognition particle sRNA small type". It matches the Rfam family "Bacterial small signal recognition particle RNA". From Rfam's summary of the family: The signal recognition particle (SRP) is a universally conserved ribonucleoprotein involved in the co-translational targeting of proteins to membranes. Archaeal SRP consists of a 7S RNA and homologues of the eukaryotic SRP19 and SRP54 proteins. The record is from RNAcentral. Lineage: Bacteria; Bacillati; Actinomycetota.
GGCCGGGUUCUGCGCAACGGGGCCUCGUGAACCGAGUCAGGGUCGGAAGGCAGCAGCUCUCAGCGAAGAGCCCUGUGUGCCGCAGGCGACCUGGCCGCU